Molecule: long non-coding RNA, 802 nt
Filed under: Numida meleagris (helmeted guineafowl)
Lineage: Eukaryota; Metazoa; Chordata; Aves; Galliformes; Numididae
Description: lncRNA (ENSNMEG00000000416.1)
Source: RNAcentral
CGCAAACCAAAGCCAGCAUUAUGACCAUAGUUCAAUGAAUUGCCUCUAAUUCAAAUUUUCUGUGUCCAGAUUACCAAAAUGGGGAUGGUAAAAUUGGUACACAGGCUUGAUCGGGACAGAAGCCGGUGAAACCACUGACAAAUAUGAAAAUGUCUGCAGAUAGAUCAGCCUCAAACUCAUAGUUGAUGCAGAUGAUAGAUACAAAUUCUUUGUUAUGCCGGAUAUAAGGAAAAUAUUAUUUUACUGUAGGAGAGUGAUACAGUCCUCCAAAAGCUGUGGAGACCACAUUGCUGAAGACAGUUUGGGAUUUUGUAUCCCUGGAGUUUUCCAAUUCUGAGCUAGCUGGAGCUACAGUUGACCUGACCUACUGUUCCUUCCAACCUCUCUAUCAUUCUUUGAAAUCUACAUUAGACUGAACAUGAUUUUACUGCAGCACGUCUUGGCUAUGAUCCUAAAUCUCACAUGUAGCUCUUCUUAUCAUGUAGAUAACCCUUCCCAAUGCCAAUGACUGCAGAAGAAACUCAUGUCCCCAGGCAAUUCCUCAGAUGACUGCUUCCAACAGAAGACAAAGAAGAGGAUGAAAAGAAUCAAGUCAAGUUUUGCAGACCACAGCAAGAGAGCCAAGAAAACUAAAAGAAUGUUGUCGUUCACUCAGACUGGAAAUCAGUGCGAAUGUGACUGCAUAGAGGAGCACAUACAGCUCUCACCUGGCAGCAGGAUGGAAAGAACGUUUUGGCGCAAGGGGCAAACCAAGACUCACAUUCGCAUGCCCAGAAACCUUGCUCUCUUGGCAGUACAUUAA